Molecule: transfer RNA, 70 nt
Filed under: Danio rerio (zebrafish)
Lineage: Eukaryota; Metazoa; Chordata; Actinopteri; Cypriniformes; Danionidae
Rfam family: tRNA
About the family: Transfer RNA (tRNA) molecules are approximately 80 nucleotides in length. Their secondary structure includes four short double-helical elements and three loops (D, anti-codon, and T loops).
Source: Rfam by way of RNAcentral
GCCCGGCUAGCUCAGUCGGUAGAGCAUGAGACUCUUAAUCUCAGGGUCAUUUCGAGCCCCACGUUGGGUG